GAUGAACGCUGGCGGCGUGCUUAACACAUGCAAGUCGAACGGAAAGGCCCAACCUUGCUUGGGUACUCGAGUGGCGAACGGGUGAGUAACACGUGGGUGAUCUGCCCUGCACUUCGGGAUAACUCUGGGAAACUGGGUCUAAUACCGGAUAGGACCACCUCCUGGAUGUUGUGGUUGAAAGUUUUUGCGGUGUUGGAUGGGCUCGCGGCGUAUCAGCGUGUUGGUGGGGUGGUGUCCUAUCACGGCGUCUACGGGUAGCGGGCGUGAGAGGGUGUGCGGACACAUGGGGUGUGAUAUAGGGCAGAGACCCACGCGGGGGGCAGGAGGGGGGAAUAGUACAAAGUGGGCGAGCGUGAUACGGAGACACGGCGCGGGCGGUGACGGCGUUCGCGUUGUAAAAUCCGCUCGCGCCGGUGGAGGCGUUUUAGUGACGGUAACUGGUGAAGAAGCACCGGCUAACUACGUG
RNAcentral lists this ribosomal RNA (466 nucleotides) under uncultured bacterium. RNAcentral's name for it is "partial 16S ribosomal RNA". It matches the Rfam family "Bacterial small subunit ribosomal RNA", at positions 28 to 507 of the family's 1533-position model. The record is from RNAcentral.